GGACGGGUGAGUAAUGCCUAGGAAUCUGCCUGGUAGUGGGGGAUAACGUCCGGAAACGGGCGCUAAUACCGCAUACGUCCUGAGGGAGAAAGUGGGGGAUCUUCGGACCUCACGCUAUCAGAUGAGCCUAGGUCGGAUUAGCUAGUUGGUGGGGUAAAGGCCUACCAAGGCGACGAUCCGUAACUGGUCUGAGAGGAUGAUCAGUCACACUGGAACUGAGACACGGUCCAGACUCCUACGGGAGGCAGCAGUGGGGAAUAUUGGACAAUGGGCGAAAGCCUGAUCCAGCCAUGCCGCGUGUGUGAAGAAGGUCUUCGGAUUGUAAAGCACUUUAAGUUGGGAGGAAGGGCAGUAAGUUAAUACCUUGCUGUUUUGACGUUACCAACAGAAUAAGCACCGGCUAACUUCGUGCCAGCAGCCGCGGUAAUACGAAGGGUGCAAGCGUUAAUCGGAAUUACUGGGCGUAAAGCGCGCGUAGGUGGUUCAGCAAGUUGGAUGUGAAAUCCCCGGGCUCAACCUGGG
RNAcentral lists this ribosomal RNA (522 nucleotides) under Pseudomonas aeruginosa. Its description in RNAcentral is "bacterial SSU rRNA". It matches the Rfam family "Bacterial small subunit ribosomal RNA", at positions 100 to 618 of the family's 1533-position model. Lineage: Bacteria; Pseudomonadati; Pseudomonadota; Gammaproteobacteria; Pseudomonadales; Pseudomonadaceae. The record is from RNAcentral.